AGGCAGCCUGGCUCAAGGACACUGAGGAGCAUGCCAGCAGCUGGAAGGCUGUGGGCGUCCUCAGCUAGUCUGGUCCGGAGAUGUUCUCUCUGGCACACUGCUUUUUCUCGGCUCUCCCCUCCCUGUACUGACCGGCCCCAAACGGACCAGCAACCGAGGCGCACUUCCCAGCAGCCGCCGGUAGGGGCGCCAGCGCAGCCUGGGCCUGUCCUCCCCGGUCCACGCCGCGACCCGCCCGCGGACUGCCGCCCCGUAGGCCAUGGAGCGCUAUCGCCAAAGUCACUGCUCACCACCUGCCACCCUUACGGGUGAAGCUUACGGUACCCGCGCCCCCGGGAAGGCACACGGGCUUGCAUUCAAGGCUUGCCAAGGCCCAGCCCUGGAUCCCAGGGAGGUCACGGCCCAGGGUUGACCUCUGAAGCCACCUCCUGUCUCCCCCUGGCUCCUCUGUCUCUGUGCAGAACCGUGGUGUGCCAGGCUCUGGCCAACCUGUGGCCUCUCCACCCUGAAAGAGUCCCCUUGAAAAGCCAAGGGGGAAGAAACCAGCCCCCAGCAGCGAACUCCAUAUAUACCAAGAGGUCCAUCCAUGUUGUCACAAGUGGUGAAACUUCAUUGUUUUAAGAGUUUAUUUGUCAGAGAGAGAGCACAAGGAGAAGGAGCAGCAAAGGCAGAGGAAGAAGCUGGCUCUCCACUGAGCAAGAAGCCCAAUGAGGGGCUCAAUCCCAGGACUGUGGAUCAUGACCUCGGUCGAAGACAGAAGCUUAACCAACUGAGCCACCCAGGCGUCCAGAACCUUCAUUCUUUUUUAAAGGCUGAGUUAUGUUCAUUGCAUAUAUAUACACACCACAUCAUCUUUAUCCAGUCAUCUGUCGGUGGACACUUGGGCUGCUUCCAUAUCAUGGCUAUUGCAAAUAAUGCUUCAAUAAACAUAGAGGUGCUGUAUCUUUUCAAA
Long non-coding RNA from Mustela lutreola (European mink), 952 nucleotides. RefSeq lists it as uncharacterized. The transcript is spliced from 3 exons. NCBI's taxonomy places the organism in Eukaryota, Metazoa, Chordata, Mammalia, Carnivora, Mustelidae. The record is from RefSeq and is a predicted model, not a curated record.